RNAcentral lists this ribosomal RNA (393 nucleotides) under uncultured bacterium. RNAcentral describes it as "partial 16S ribosomal RNA". It matches the Rfam family "Bacterial small subunit ribosomal RNA", at positions 523 to 918 of the family's 1533-position model. The record is from RNAcentral.
AUACGGAGGAUCCGAGCGUUAUCCGGAUUUAUUGGGUUUAAAGGGUGCGCAGGCGGGAGAUUAAGUCGGCGGUGAAAUUUUGCAGCUCAACUGUAAAAGGGCCUUCGAAACUGGUUUCCUUGAGUGUAGAUGAAGUAGGCGGAAUUUGUGGUGUAGCGGUGAAAUGCAUAGAUAUCACGAGGAACUCCGAUUGCGCAGGCAGCUUACUAAACUACUACUGACGCUCAGGCACGAAGGCGUGGGGAUCAAACAGGGUUAGAUACCCUGGUAGUCCACGCAGUAAACGAUGAUUACUAGCUGUUUGCGAUACAAUGUAAGCGGCUGAGCGAAAGCGUUAAGUAAUCCACCUGGGGAGUACGUUCGCAAGAAUGAAACUCAAAUGAAUUGGCGGGG